AUAUUACUUCCUUCGUCCGAAAAUACUUGUCAUAGGAAUGAAUGUAUCUAGAUGUAUUUUAGUUCUAGAUACAUCCAUUUUCAUUUAUUUAUACGAUAAGUCAUUCCGGACGGAGGGAGUAUAUG
Molecule: microRNA precursor, 125 nt
Filed under: Hordeum vulgare
Lineage: Eukaryota; Viridiplantae; Streptophyta; Magnoliopsida; Poales; Poaceae
Description: microRNA MIR1122
Rfam family: MIR1120/MIR1122 microRNA precursor family
Source: RNAcentral